CCGGCCACUCCCCAAAAGCAGAGCAUUCCAUCCUUUCUCUUUUUAAACCCACGUCAUCAUCUGAUCAUAAUGGAAAUCAAUCUCCUCAAACCACCAUGCAAAGGCGUAUCCAUGGCAACCUCAAAAGGAAGGACACAGAGAUGAUGCUUCAGUGGCUGCAGCAGGAAAAGCUCUUCGCCUCUCAGUACCUUAAGUAUACCUGAGUAGCCAGUGGUCAACAUGGGUUUGCUGCUCUCCUCACUGCAAUAAAUGAGGGAAACCUGUAGCUCAGUAUGGAUUCAGGGGCGCCUCAGACGCUCGCAGGAACGGAGGGGAGACCCUUGCAGUUCUGGAGGAACUCUAAGGCGCAGUCACUCUGAUCCCAAGAGAACACCGCC
Long non-coding RNA from Pongo pygmaeus (Bornean orangutan), 377 nucleotides. RefSeq lists it as uncharacterized. Lineage: Eukaryota; Metazoa; Chordata; Mammalia; Primates; Hominidae. The transcript has 3 exons. The record is from RefSeq and is a predicted model, not a curated record.